RNAcentral lists this ribosomal RNA (300 nucleotides) under uncultured Octadecabacter sp. RNAcentral describes it as "bacterial SSU rRNA". It matches the Rfam family "Bacterial small subunit ribosomal RNA", at positions 115 to 434 of the family's 1533-position model. Lineage: Bacteria; Pseudomonadati; Pseudomonadota; Alphaproteobacteria; Rhodobacterales; Roseobacteraceae. The record is from RNAcentral.
GCGUGGGAACAUACCCAACACUACGGAAUAGCCUCGGGAAACUGAGAGUAAUACCGUAUACGCCCUUCGGGGAAGAUUUAUCGGUGAUGGAUUGGCCCGCGUUAGAUUAGAUAGUCGGUGGGGUAAUGGCCUACCAAGUCUACGAUCUAUAGCUGGUUUGAGAGGAUGAUCAGCAACACUGGGACUGAGACACGGCCCAGACUCCUACGGGAGGCAGCAGUGGGGAAUAUUGGGCAAUGGGCGAAAGCCUGACCCAGCCACGCCGCGUGAGUGAUGAAGGCCUUCGGGUCGUAAAGCUCU